RNAcentral lists this ribosomal RNA (254 nucleotides) under uncultured bacterium. Its description in RNAcentral is "partial 16S ribosomal RNA". It matches the Rfam family "Bacterial small subunit ribosomal RNA", at positions 524 to 776 of the family's 1533-position model. The record is from RNAcentral.
UACGUAGGGUGCAAGCGUUGUCCGGAAUUACUGGGCGUAAAGAGCUCGUAGGUGGUUUGUCGCGUCGUCUGUGAAAUCCCGGGGCUUAACUCCGGGCGUGCAGGCGAUACGGGCAUAACUUGAGUGCUGUAGGGGAGACUGGAAUUCCUGGUGUAGCGGUGAAAAGCGCAGAUAUCAGGAGGAACACCGAUGGCGAAGGCAGGUCUCUGGGCAGUUACUGACGCUGAGGAGCGAAAGCAUGGGUAGCGAACAGG